UACAGAGGGGGCAAGCGUUGUUCGGAAUUACUGGGCGUAAAGGGCGCGUAGGCGGCCUUCUAAGUCGAACGUGAAAUCCCCGGGCUCAACCCGGGAACUGCGUCCGAUACUGGAAGGCUUGAAUCCGGGAGAGGGAUGCGGAAUUCCAGGUGUAGCGGUGAAAUGCGUAGAUAUCUGGAGGAACACCGGUGGCGAAGGCGACAUCCUGGACCGGUAUUGACGCUGAGGCGCGAAAGCCAGAGGAGCAAACGGG
Molecule: ribosomal RNA, 253 nt
Filed under: uncultured bacterium
Lineage: Bacteria
Description: partial 16S ribosomal RNA
Rfam family: Bacterial small subunit ribosomal RNA
Source: RNAcentral